This is a long non-coding RNA of Chelonia mydas (Green sea turtle), 992 nucleotides long. RefSeq lists it as uncharacterized. Lineage: Eukaryota; Metazoa; Chordata; Testudines; Cheloniidae. The record is from RefSeq and is a predicted model, not a curated record. The transcript has 3 exons.
AGGGUUUUGUUCUGGAUAAAACCAUCGCCUGUUUCCAGACCCUGGUCGGAGUGGGGCGGGUGAGAGAUGCAGGUCACAAUCCUCCGGGCAAACGCGGGUGCUGUCUGACGGGGCUGUUUUUUAUUGCAGGAUGGUGAGAGGGUAUACGAUGUGGAGAUGCAGUCGAUGGCACCCUCGCCUUUGGUUCAGCGCCAGCACGGUGCUAGCGCUCUACCUUUAAUACUACUCAAAAUAACACCUGUCAAAUUGAUGGAGAAAGAGCUACAUCCUAGGGGACUGCUGAGGGUUUGGAGGCCUUGGAGGACUGGCAAUAGGAUACAGAGAUUUAAGAUCACCAGGUUAAAGAUGGUCGGUCCCACUAACCUCUCCUCAUACACUAUCCCUGUCUGUCCUGAGUUAAAGUUGGUGCCCACUAUGUAAUGCAAUGUGGUUCAAUGACGGCAGUAUAUAGGGGAAGUUAGUCAUUUUUUAGUUUUUCACUGAAAAUUAUACUAAAUCAGAUUACCAGAACUUAAUGUUGUCACUUAGCAGCACUUCUAGACUGAGGUUCAAUGACAAACCUGUGCAUACAUUGAGCUUCUAUGCAGCAUUACUUGACCAGUAAAAGAAAAGAACUGAGAUGAGUUUAAACAGCACCUCAACAUUGAAAUUCUCAAAUCGACUAUACUUACAAUAUUAAAGUUUUUUAUGAUCAUAUACCUAGUUAUCUUAAAGACCUUUUAUUUUCUUACUGUUGACAGCAGAUGCUGUAACGUAAUUCUGAAAGUUUGCCUGUACCUUGAAUAUGAACCCUGUCACCCAAAAUUAAAUUGUACAAACAGUUUUAGAAUCAAAGGACACAAGACAGUUCUUUUUAACUUUACUACUGUAAACUGCUCUAUGCAGUGCUCUGCAUGCUUUACUUUCUGUGCUUGUAAAGUUUUAAGUUUUGCAUUGGAACUUUUUUUUUAAACAAAAAGGAAAAUGCCUUUUUCAUCAAAAUGAAAAUUUGU